RNAcentral lists this ribosomal RNA (820 nucleotides) under Hafnia alvei. RNAcentral's name for it is "bacterial SSU rRNA". It matches the Rfam family "Bacterial small subunit ribosomal RNA", at positions 577 to 1396 of the family's 1533-position model. The record is from RNAcentral. Lineage: Bacteria; Pseudomonadati; Pseudomonadota; Gammaproteobacteria; Enterobacterales; Hafniaceae.
CGGUGAUUAAGUCAGAUGUGAAAUCCCGAGCUUAACUUGGGAACUGCAUUUGAAACUGUCAGCUAGAGUCUUGUAGAGGGGGGUAGAAUUCCCAGGUGUAGCGGUGAAAUGCGUAGAGAUCUGGAGGAAUACCGGUGGCGAAGGCGGCCCCCUGGACAAAGACUGACGCUCAGGUGCGAAAGCGUGGGGAGCAAAACAGGAUUAGAUACCCUGGUAGUCCACGCUGUAAACGAUGUCGACUUGGAGGUUGUGCCCUUGAGGCGUGGCUUCCGGAGCUAACGCGUUAAGUCGACCGCCUGGGGAGUACGGCCGCAAGGUUAAAACUCAAAUGAAUUGACGGGGGCCCGCACAAGCGGUGGAGCAUGUGGUUUAAUUCGAUGCAACGCGAAGAACCUUACCUACUCUUGACAUCCAGAGAAUUUAGCAGAGAUGCUUUAGUGCCUUCGGGAACUCUGAGACAGGUGCUGCAUGGCUGUCGUCAGCUCGUGUUGUGAAAUGUUGGGUUAAGUCCCGCAACGAGCGCAACCCUUAUCCUUUGUUGCCAGCACGUAAUGGUGGGAACUCAAAGGAGACUGCCGGUGAUAAACCGGAGGAAGGUGGGGAUGACGUCAAGUCAUCAUGGCCCUUACGAGUAGGGCUACACACGUGCUACAAUGGCAUAUACAAAGAGAAGCGAACUCGCGAGAGCAAGCGGACCUCAUAAAGUAUGUCGUAGUCCGGAUUGGAGUCUGCAACUCGACUCCAUGAAGUCGGAAUCGCUAGUAAUCGUAGAUCAGAAUGCUACGGUGAAUACGUUCCCGGGCCUUGUACACACCGCCCG